CACUUGAUAGCGGCCUAUUGGUGGAUCCAUUUAAUUCAAGAAAAUGGAGACCGAACAGCCAGAAGAAACCUUCCCCAACACCGAAACCAAUGGUGAAUUUGGUAAACGCCCUGCAGAAGAUAUGGAAGAGCCUUUAAAAGAUCUAGAAAUACUGAUGAGAUGGUUGAAUUGCGUAUUUUACUUAAGAGCAAGAAUGCUGGGGCAGUGGUUGGGAAAGGAGGCAAGAAUAUUAAGGCUCUCCGUACAGACUACAAUGCCAGUGUUUCAGUCCCAGACAGCAGUGGUCCCGAGUGCAUAUUGAGUAUCAGUGCUGAUAUUGAGAAAUUCUGAAGAAAAUCAUCCCUACCUUGGAAGAGGGCCUGUAGUUGCCAUUACCCACUGCAACCAGCCAGCUCCGGCUCGAAUCUGAUGCCGUGGAAUGCUUAAAUUACCAACAUUAUAAAGGAAGUGACUUUGACUGCAAGUUGAGACUGUUGAUUCAUCAGAGUCUGGCAGGAGGAAUUAUUGGUGUUAAAGGUGCUAAAAUCAAAGAACUUCGGGAAAACACUCAGACAACAAUCAAGCUUUUCCAAGAGUGCUGCCCUCAUUCUACUGACAGGGUUGUUCUUAUUGGAGGAAAACCUGAUAGAGUUGUAGAAUGCAUCAAGAUCAUCCUUGAUCUUAUAUCUGAGUCUCCCAUCAAAGGAUGUACACAACCUUAUGAUCCCAACUUUUAUGAUGAAAUCUAUGAUUAUGGUGGUUUUACAAUGAUGUUUGAUGACUGCCGAGGACGGCCUGUGGGAUUCCCCAUGAGGGGAAGAGGUGGUUUUGACAGAAUGCCUCCUGGUCAGGGUGAGCGUCCCAUGCCUCCUUCCAGAAGAGAUUAUGAUGAUAUGAGCCCCCGUCGAGGACCUCCUCCACCUCCUCCUGGUCGAGGUGGCAGGGGUGGCAGCAGAGCCCCGAAUCUUUCUCUUCCUCCUCCACCACCACCCAGAGCAGGAGAUCUAAUGGCUUAUGACAGAAGAGGAAGGCCUGGAGAUCACUAUGAUGGCAUGGUUGGGUUCAGUGCUGAUGAAACUUGGGACUCUGCAAUUGACACAUGGAGCCCAUCAGAGUGGCAAAUGGCUUAUGAACCACAGGGUGGUUGGGUAUGAUUAUUCUUAUGCAGGGGGUCGUGGCUCAUACGGUGAUCUUGGCGAACCUAUUAUCACUACACAAGUAACUAUUCCCAAAGAUUUGACUGGAUCUAUUACUGGCAAAGGAGGUCAGUGGAUUAAACAAAUUCAUCAUGAAUCUGGAGCAUCAAUCAAAAUUGAUGAACCUUUAGAAGGAUCUGAAGAUCAGAUCAUUACCAUUACAGGAACACAGGACCAGAUACAGAAUGCACAGUAUUCACUGCAGAACAGUGUGAAGCAGUAUUCUGGAAAGUUUUUCUAAGACUAGUGAAGAACUGAAGGAGUCCUGCAUCUUUUGUUUUUAUCUGCUUCUGUUUAAAAAGCCAACAUUCCUCUGCUUCAUAGGUGUUGUGCAUUUGAGGUGUAGUGAAAUCUUUGCUGUUCACCAGAUGUACUGUUUUAGUUCCUUACAAACAGAGUUGGGGGGAGGGCA
Molecule: RNA transcript, 1587 nt
Organism: Mastomys coucha (southern multimammate mouse)
Lineage: Eukaryota; Metazoa; Chordata; Mammalia; Rodentia; Muridae
Gene name: heterogeneous nuclear ribonucleoprotein K-like
Exons: 2
Source: RefSeq, a predicted model, not a curated record